Molecule: long non-coding RNA, 728 nt
Filed under: Heterocephalus glaber (naked mole-rat)
Lineage: Eukaryota; Metazoa; Chordata; Mammalia; Rodentia; Bathyergidae
Description: lncRNA (ENSHGLG00000048288.1)
Source: RNAcentral
CGCAGGCUCGUGGGCGCUGGGGCCGCGGGAAGGGCCGCUCCCAACCUGCGAUGGCGCCGCCCGGCCCCUCCCCCGGGCCCCGCGUGAUCGGGUUUGGCGUGGGAGAGGAAGAAAAGCAAGUGGGAUCGCUGGGAAGCGGCUGGUUUGGGGGAGCGCAGGAAUGGUUCCCGCCCCCUGGUGGCGGAGCAGCUCCUCUAGCGCAUCUGCUCCGCGGGGUCCCCUGCCGCCUCCCACAGUGCUUGACUUUCGCAGGACGCUGGGCAACCUUGAGUCUGGUAAACGAAGAAACCCCGUCCUCCCGCCCCUCCCACCGGCUGGUCGAAGUCGCUGAUUUUCCCAGACUGGCCUCAAACUUGUCAUCCUCCUGCCUCAGCCUCCCAGAAUGCUGGGGUGACGCCAGGCAGAGUGUCAUUCUUGUUGGACGUGAAUGAGGAAGGCGUCUGCCUGGCUGCUCCUGGUGGCCGUCCGGAGGCACAAGGAAGCCCGUGUGACAGACGCCACUCACUGAGGGAGGACACGAAACCACAGCGCCCAGACUCGCCGCUCCUGCCCCCCGCCAGCCUGCGUGCAAGCUGCCGGACAGCGUCUUCCUGCUCGGGCUACAGUCCCGCCCCUCGCACCUGCAGGCCCCGGAAUAUGACCGCCUGGGGCCGUGUGUGUGUCUGUCUCCCUCUGCUUGGUGGGCAGUAUGGGCCUCGAGCCAGCAGUGCUGCUCAAGCCCCGGGGAU